RNAcentral lists this transfer RNA (88 nucleotides) under Thermotogota bacterium. Its description in RNAcentral is "Thermotogae bacterium (oil production facility metagenome) tRNA-Leu". It matches the Rfam family "tRNA". From Rfam's summary of the family: Transfer RNA (tRNA) molecules are approximately 80 nucleotides in length. Their secondary structure includes four short double-helical elements and three loops (D, anti-codon, and T loops). The record is from RNAcentral. Lineage: Bacteria; Thermotogati; Thermotogota.
GCCGAGGUGGCGGAAUUGGCAGACGCGCAUGGUUGAGGGCCAUGUGGGCUUAGCGCCCGUGCGGGUUCAAAUCCCGCCCUCGGCACCA